GACGAACUUUGGCGGCGUGCUUAACACAUGCAAGUCGAACGGUAAGGCUCCAGCUUGCUGGGGUACACGAGUGGCGAACGGGUGAGUAACACGUGGGUGACCUGCCCUGCACUUCGGGAUAAGCCUGGGAAACUGGGUCUAAUACCGGAUAGGACCGCACCGUGAGGGUGUGGUGGAAAGUUUUUUCGGUGUGGGAUGGGCCCGCGGCCUAUCAGCUUGUUGGUGGGGUAAUGGCCUACCAAGGCGGCGACGGGUAGCCGGCCUGAGAGGGUGGACGGCCACAUUGGGACUGAGACACGGCCCAGACUCCUACGGGAGGCAGCAGUGGGGAAUAUUGCACAAUGGGCGGAAGCCUGAUGCAGCGACGCCGCGUGGGGGAUGACGGCCUUCGGGUUGUAAACUCCUUUCACCAUCGACGAAGGGUUUCUGACGGUAGAUGGAGAAGAAGCACCGGCUAACUACGUGCCAGCAGCCGCGGUAAUACGUAGGGUGCGAGCGUUGUCCGGAAUUACUGGGCGUAAAGAGCUCGUAGGUGGUUUGUCGCGUCGUCUGUGAAAUUCCGGGGCUUAACUCCGGGCGUGCAGGCGAUACGGGCAUAACUUGAGUACUGUAGGGGAGACUGGAAUUCCUGGUGUAGCGGUGAAAUGCGCAGAUAUCAGGAGGAAACCCGGGUGCGAAAGGCGGGUCUCUGGGCAGUAACUGACGCUGAGGAGCGAAAGCAUGGGGAGCGAACAGGAUUAGAUACCCUGGUAGUCCAUGCCGUAAACGGUGGGCGCUAGGUGUGGGUUUCCUUCCACGGGAUCCGUGCCGUAGCUAACGCAUUAAGCGCCCCGCCUGGGGAGUACGGCCGCAAGGCUAAAACUCAAAGGAAUUGACGGGGGCCCGCACAAGCGGCGGAGCAUGUGGAUUAAUUCGAUGCAACGCGAAGAACCUUACCUGGGCUUGACAUAUACAGGAUCGCGCCAGAGAUGGUGUUUCCCUUGUGGCUUGUAUACAGGUGGUGCAUGGUUGUCGUCAGCUCGUGUCGUGAGAUGUUGGGUUAAGUCCCGCAACGAGCGCAACCCUUGUCUUAUGUUGCCAGCACGUUGUGGUGGGGACUCGUAAGAAACUGCCGGGGUUAACUCGGAGGAAGGUGGGGAUGACGUCAAAUCAUCAUGCCCCUUAUGUCCAGGGCUUCACACAUGCUACAAUGGUCGGUACAGUGGGUUGCCAGUCCGUGAGGGCGAGCUAAUCCCGCAAAGCCGGUCUCAGUUCGGAUCGGGGUCUGCAACUCGACCCCGUGAAGUCGGAGUCGCUAGUAAUCGCAGAUCAGCAACGCUGCGGUGAAUACGUUCCCGGGCC
This 1341-nucleotide ribosomal RNA is filed under the name uncultured bacterium. Its description in RNAcentral is "partial 16S ribosomal RNA". It matches the Rfam family "Bacterial small subunit ribosomal RNA", at positions 28 to 1380 of the family's 1533-position model. The record is from RNAcentral.